UACGGGAGUGGCAAGCGUUAUCCGGAAUUAUUGGGCGUAAAGCGUCCGCAGGCGGCCUUACAAGUCUGUCGUUAAAGCGUGGAGCUUAACUCCAUUUCAGCGAUGGAAACUGUAAGGCUAGAGUGUGGUAGGGGCAGAGGGAAUUCCCGGUGUAGCGGUGAAAUGCGUAGAUAUCGGGAAGAACACCAGUGGCGAAGGCGCUCUGCUGGGCCAUAACUGACGCUCAUGGACGAAAGCCAGGGGAGCGAAAGGGAUUAGAUACCCCUGUAGUCCUGGCCGUAAACGAUGAACACUAGGUGUCGGGGGAAUCGACCCCCUCGGUGUCGUAGCCAACGCGUUAAGUGUUCCGCCUGGGGAGUACGCACGSWWGUGUGAMACUCAA
RNAcentral lists this ribosomal RNA (382 nucleotides) under uncultured cyanobacterium. RNAcentral's name for it is "bacterial SSU rRNA". It matches the Rfam family "Bacterial small subunit ribosomal RNA", at positions 524 to 904 of the family's 1533-position model. Lineage: Bacteria; Bacillati; Cyanobacteriota. The record is from RNAcentral.